AACGAACGCUGGCGGCAUGCCUAACACAUGCAAGUCGAACGAGACCUUCGGGUCUAGUGGCGCACGGGUGCGUAACGCGUGGGAACCUGCCCUUAGGUUCGGAAUAACUCCCCGAAAGGGGUGCUAAUACCGGAUAAUGUCUUCGGACCAAAGAUUUAUCGCCUUUGGAUGGGCCCGCGUUGGAUUAGCUAGUUGGUAGGGUAAAAGCCUACCAAGGCGACGAUCCAUAGCUGGUCUGAGAGGAUGAUCAGCCACACUGGGACUGAGACACGGCCCAGACUCCUACGGGAGGCAGCAGUGGGGAAUAUUGGUCAAUGGGCGAAAGCCUGAUCCAGCAAUGCCGCGUGAGUGAUGAAGGCCUUAGGGUUGUAAAGCUCUUUUACCCGGGAUGAUAAUGACAGUACCGGGAGAAUAAUCUCCGGCUAACUCCGUG
Molecule: ribosomal RNA, 433 nt
Filed under: uncultured bacterium
Lineage: Bacteria
Description: partial 16S ribosomal RNA
Rfam family: Bacterial small subunit ribosomal RNA
Source: RNAcentral